CCUACGGGAGGCAGCAGUGGGGAAUUUUGGACAAUGGGCGCAAGCCUGAUCCAGCAAUGCCGCGUGCAGGAUGAAGGCCUUCGGGUUGUAAACUGCUUUUGUACGGAACGAAACGGUGAGCUCUAAUACAGUUUGCUAAUGACGGUACCGUAAGAAUAAGCACCGGCUAACUACGUGCCAGCAGCCGCGGUAAUACGUAGGGUGCGAGCGUUAAUCGGAAUUACUGGGCGUAAAGCGUGCGCAGGCGGUGAUGUAAGACAGAUGUGAAAUGCCCGGGCUCAACCUGGGACCUGCAUUUGUGACUGCAUCGCUAGAGUACGGUAGAGGGGGAUGGAAUUCCGCGUGUAGCAGUGAAAUGCGUAGAUAUGCGGAGGAACACCGAUGGCGAAGGCAAUCCCCUGGACCUGUACUGACGCUCAUGCACGAGGACGGUGGGGAGGACGAAACAAGGAGUAGUAUACCUACGGUAGGUACCGACCGACCCGUAAACCGAACUAGUCUAACUAGGUUGGUUGGGUUCGUUC
RNAcentral lists this ribosomal RNA (524 nucleotides) under uncultured bacterium. Its description in RNAcentral is "bacterial SSU rRNA". It matches the Rfam family "Bacterial small subunit ribosomal RNA", at positions 338 to 856 of the family's 1533-position model. The record is from RNAcentral.